RNAcentral lists this ribosomal RNA (1372 nucleotides) under uncultured bacterium. RNAcentral's name for it is "bacterial SSU rRNA". It matches the Rfam family "Bacterial small subunit ribosomal RNA", at positions 28 to 1381 of the family's 1533-position model. The record is from RNAcentral.
GGUGAACGCUGGCGGCGUGCCUAAUACAUGCAAGUCGAGCGAACGGACGAGAAGCUUGCUUCUCUGAUGUUAGCGGCGGACGGGUGAGUAACACGUGGAUAACCUACCUAUAAGACUGGGAUAACUUCGGGAAACCGGAGCUAAUACCGGAUAAUAUUUUGAACCGCAUGGUUCAAAAGUGAAAGACGGUCUUGCUGUCACUUAUAGAUGGAUCCGCGCUGCAUUAGCUAGUUGGUAAGGUAACGGCUUACCAAGGCAACGAUGCAUAGCCGACCUGAGAGGGUGAUCGGCCACACUGGAACUGAGACACGGUCCAGACUCCUACGGGAGGCAGCAGUAGGGAAUCUUCCGCAAUGGGCGAAAGCCUGACGGAGCAACGCCGCGUGAGUGAUGAAGGUCUUCGGAUCGUAAAACUCUGUUAUUAGGGAAGAACAUAUGUGUAAGUAACUGUGCACAUCUCGACGGUACCUAAUCAGAAAGCCACGGCUAACUACGUGCCAGCAGCCGCGGUAAUACGUAGGUGGCAAGCGUUAUCCGGAAUUAUUGGGCGUAAAGCGCGCGUAGGCGGUUUUUUAAGUCUGAUGUGAAAGCCCACGGCUCAACCGUGGAGGGUCAUUGGAAACUGGAAAACUUGAGUGCAGAAGAGGAAAGUGGAAUUCCAUGUGUAGCGGUGAAAUGCGCAGAGAUAUGGAGGAACACCAGUGGCGAAGGCGACUUUCUGGUCUGUAACUGACGCUGAUGUGCGAAAGCGUGGGGAUCAAACAGGAUUAGAUACCCUGGUAGUCCACGCCGUAAACGAUGAGUGCUAAGUGUUAGGGGGUUUCCGCCCCUUAGUGCUGCAGCUAACGCAUUAAGCACUCCGCCUGGGGAGUACGACCGCAAGGUUGAAACUCAAAGGAAUUGACGGGGACCCGCACAAGCGGUGGAGCAUGUGGUUUAAUUCGAAGCAACGCGAAGAACCUUACCAAAUCUUGACAUCCUUUGACAACUCUAGAGAUAGAGCCUUCCCCUUCGGGGGACAAAGUGACAGGUGGUGCAUGGUUGUCGUCAGCUCGUGUCGUGAGAUGUUGGGUUAAGUCCCGCAACGAGCGCAACCCUUAAGCUUAGUUGCCAUCAUUAAGUUGGGCACUCUAAGUUGACUGCCGGUGACAAACCGGAGGAAGGUGGGGAUGACGUCAAAUCAUCAUGCCCCUUAUGAUUUGGGCUACACACGUGCUACAAUGGACAAUACAAAGGGCAGCGAAACCGCGAGGUCAAGCAAAUCCCAUAAAGUUGUUCUCAGUUCGGAUUGUAGUCUGCAACUCGACUACAUGAAGCUGGAAUCGCUAGUAAUCGUAGAUCAGCAUGCUACGGUGAAUACGUUCCCGGGUCU